This is a long non-coding RNA of Scomber scombrus (Atlantic mackerel), 462 nucleotides long. RefSeq lists it as uncharacterized. The record is from RefSeq and is a predicted model, not a curated record. The transcript has 3 exons. Lineage: Eukaryota; Metazoa; Chordata; Actinopteri; Scombriformes; Scombridae.
ACAGGUAGUCAGACAGACAGACAGGUAGUCAGACAGACAGACAGACAGGUAGUCAGACAGACAGGUAGUCAGAAAGACAGACAGACAGACAGGUAGUCAGACAGACAGACAGACAGACAGACAGACAGACAGGCAGUCAGGCAGACAGUCAGACAGACAGACAGGUAGUCAGACAGACAGACAGACAGGUAGUCAGACAGACAGGUAGUCAGAAAGACAGACAGACAGACAGACAGACAGACAGGCAGUCAGGUAGUCAGGUAGUCAGACAGACAGACAGACAGACAGGUAGUCAGACAGACAGACAGGUAGUCAGACAGACAGACAGACAGGUAGUCAGACAGACAGGUAGUCAGAAAGACAGACAGACAGACAGACAGACAGACAGACAGACAGACAGACAGACAUGCAGACAGACAGGUAGUCAGACAGACAGGUAGUCAGAAAGACAGACAGACAGGU